GGGGAAACCCAGUGCAAUCCGUUGCACUAUCGUUAACUGAAUACAUAGGUUAACGAGGCGAACCGGGGGAACUGAAACAUCUAAGUACCCCGAGGAAAAGAAAUCAACCGAGAUUCCCCCAGUAGCGGCGAGCGAACGGGGAGCAGCCCGGAGUCUGAAUCAGCUUGUGUGUUAGUGGAACGGUCUGGAAAGUCCGACGGUACAGGGUGAUA
RNAcentral lists this ribosomal RNA (212 nucleotides) under Enterobacter hormaechei. RNAcentral describes it as "partial 23S ribosomal RNA". It matches the Rfam family "Bacterial large subunit ribosomal RNA", at positions 120 to 369 of the family's 2925-position model. Lineage: Bacteria; Pseudomonadati; Pseudomonadota; Gammaproteobacteria; Enterobacterales; Enterobacteriaceae. RNAcentral also lists the same sequence under 1 other name. The record is from RNAcentral.